Molecule: transfer RNA, 74 nt
Filed under: bacterium
Lineage: Bacteria
Description: tRNA-Gln
Rfam family: tRNA
About the family: Transfer RNA (tRNA) molecules are approximately 80 nucleotides in length.
Source: RNAcentral
UGCGGGUUCGUCUAAUGGUAGGACAUACGCCUCUGGAGCGUAGUAUUGGGGUUCGAGUCCCUGACCCGCAGCCA